Molecule: long non-coding RNA, 2279 nt
Organism: Homo sapiens (human)
Lineage: Eukaryota; Metazoa; Chordata; Mammalia; Primates; Hominidae
Exons: 2
Source: RefSeq, a predicted model, not a curated record
AGUGCUGGGAUUACAGGCGUGAGCCACCGCGCCCGGCCCGAGCAUUUCUUACGUGAUAGGGUCUUCAUGUCCAUUCUAUCAUUUAAUUCUUUUUUAUUUUAUUUAUUUAUUUAUUUAUUUUUGAGAUGGAGUCUGGCUCUGUCGCCCAAGCUGGAGUGCAGUGGCACAUCUCAGCUCGCUGCAACCUCCGCCUCCUGGGUUCAAGCGGUUCUCCUGCCUCAGUCUCCGGAGUAGCUGGGACUACAGGCAUGGCUAAUUUUUGUAUUUCUAGUAGAGACGGGGUUUCACUAUGUUGGCCAGGCUGGUCUGGAACUCCUGACCUCAGGUGAUCCUCCCACCGGGGCCUCCCAAAGUGCUGGGAUUACAGGCAUGAGCCACCACACCCAGCCUAUCAUUUAAUUCAUGCAAUGCCCUAGGAGAGAGGGGCUGUGAUUAUUAGCCUCACAUUACAGCUGAGGAAGCUGAGACUCAGAGAGUUUAAGUAACUUGCCCAGGGUCGCGAGGCCAGUAAGUGGAAGAGGGGUGGGUCCCCUGCCCAGGUCUGACCCAGCAGCAUCGUUGAGGAUGUCAGUGACGCAGGCAUGUGGACACGGAUUUGCUGACAGUGGGACCUUUAGGCCAAGAUCCAGCCACAGUUCAAUUAGGAAAAAUCAGCACCUACGAAGUACCUCUAAACGCCAGCAACAGCCUUACCAAGAUCAAAUCCCCAAACCACUCACACGGCAAGGCUUCCCAAGUCACUGGCUGUGGGCUGAGGCUGCAGUGAUGAGUCUGCAGCAGCCAUGCCCACGGCUCAGGUUCAAGUCCUGCACUGACCACUGGGGGUCACCGCUGGCGCGCAGACCUGGUGCAGCCGUCCAGGGGGUGCCUGCGGCAAGGCCGACCUAGGGGAAGGGGCGCAGUGGGUUUCAGGGAGCCAGGCUCCCCCUCGACAGGGAGGCAGAGAUCUCUUCCUCCUCUUACAGGGGUGGGAGGGAGAGAGGCUGGCAACUGCUUCUUCCAGGCUGUCAUCUGGCAACAGUUUUCAGGGCAGCCUGAUUAACCUUGAAUCUAGUUCUGUUGACGUAGCACCAGGGGAAGGGUGAGGGAGCAGAGCCCCCUUCCCUGAGUUGGCAAUGAAGCUCUAGGGGCCUGCCUGGGGGACAUCGUGUCCGGGGCAACCGGGGCAACCAGGGCCUGCGACCUGGGGCAGUGGAGCCUGGGAGCUGAGUCCCAGCUGUUCCAAGCCUCAUGUCUCCCCUGGCAUCUGCGUCAGCAGCUCUGCCCUUUGACUUUUAAUUCCCAGGAGAGGAGGGUGGAGGCAGUCUUGGCCAUCGGGACUAAUUAUUUGUGAUUCGAUUCAACCAGCAGUUUAUUGGGGUUUGGACUGGCUUCCUGCUCUCCUCUCAGCCUCCCACACCCCAGCUUUAUGGCCCUGUUCUCCUUCGGAAGCUGAGAACAGAGAGCAGGAGUGGCUCUGCAGCAGACACCCCGGUUCCUCUUGGUCUCCUGAUCUCGGGAUGUCCUGUGGGAAGUUAAGCUUAUAAAAUGCUUUGAGUCCCUAGAGAGAGGUGGCCCCAAGCUCAUGCCCAGCCCAGGCCCUGGGCCCUCCUAGGCCGGCCUCCUGUUCUACCUGGGCUUGUUCGGACCUGUCCCCAGGUGGGCCGGGCUGGGCCAGGAGAGGGGCGCCAGCCUCCCAGCUGUCCAGGUUAGGGGGUGCAGGGCUCAGAAGGGAUGGGGGUGGAGCAGGCACCGUGGAACCUGCGAGGCUCCCAGGCCCCAGGGCCCCUGUCAGCGUCUACUGUCCCUCUAUAUUCGGCCACAGCGUUAUUGCCAUGUCCUCUCGGGACAGGCAGCCAGCCCGACCCAUGAUGUCUCCUCCAAGGGCCUGGACUAUUUUGGAACCAGCCUUGGGGGUGCUGGGGGAGGCCGAGGUGGGGUUUAAGGGAAGAUUGCCUCGCGGCUCCCGGUCAGGGAUGAGCAGAGGGUGUGUGGCAUGGGGAACUGGCCCCUAGGCCCUUCUCAGAAUUCCCAGUACAGUUACGUGAAUGUUCCUUCUGCUCAGGUUUCCUGGGGAUGCCUAGGCUGGGGCCUCAGGGGCUGAGUCUGGGCAAGAACCCAGCCCCUCCUCCCCCCGGGAGAAGCUUCCAGCUGUUUAGAUUCAUCCCUCAAUUAAAAAACAUUGCCCCCCUGUGCCAGGUUUCACCCAGAGCCACGUACAAGCUAGCCCAGUGGGUCUCAGCCUUUCGGAUUUCUCACAUCACUAACAUUUCAAAAAAAUAAAAAAAUUUAGGAUCUGA